AUCCGGGUUGCGGACAGUGUCUGGUGGGUAGUUUGACUGGGGCGGUCUCCUCCUAAAGAGUAACGGAGGAGCACGAAGGUUGGCUAAUCCUGGUCGGACAUCAGGAGGUUAGUGCAAUGGCAUAAGCCAGCUUGACUGCGAGCGUGACGGCGCGAGCAGGUGCGAAAGCAGGUCAUAGUGAUCCGGUGGUUCUGAAUGGAAGGGCCAUCGCUCAACGGAUAAAAGGUACUCCGGGGAUAACAGGCUGAUACCGCCCAAGAGUUCAUAUCGACGGCGGUGUUUGGCACCUCGAUGUCGGCUCAUCACAUCCUGGGGCUGAAGUAGGUCCCAAGGGUAUGGCUGUUCGCCAUUUAAAGUGGUACGCGAGCUGGGUUUAGAACGUCGUGAGACAGUUCGGUCCCUAUCUGCCGUGGGCGCUGGAGAAUUGAGGGGGGCUGCUCCUAGUACGAGAGGACCGGAGUGGACGCAUCACUGGUGUUCGGGUUGUCAUGCCAAUGGCACUGCCCGGUAGCUAAAUGCGGAAGAGAUAAGUGCUGAAAGCAUCUAAGCACGAAACUUGCCCCGAGAUGAGUUCUCCCUGAC
This 582-nucleotide ribosomal RNA is filed under the name Escherichia coli. RNAcentral's name for it is "partial 23S ribosomal RNA". It matches the Rfam family "Bacterial large subunit ribosomal RNA", at positions 2238 to 2819 of the family's 2925-position model. The record is from RNAcentral. Lineage: Bacteria; Pseudomonadati; Pseudomonadota; Gammaproteobacteria; Enterobacterales; Enterobacteriaceae.